This 486-nucleotide ribosomal RNA is filed under the name uncultured bacterium. RNAcentral describes it as "partial 16S ribosomal RNA". It matches the Rfam family "Bacterial small subunit ribosomal RNA", at positions 29 to 507 of the family's 1533-position model. The record is from RNAcentral.
AUUGAACGCUGGCGGCAUGCCUUACACAUGCAAGUCGAACGGCAGCACGGGUGCUUGCACCUGGUGGCGAGUGGCGAACGGGUGAGUAAUACAUCGGCACAUGUCCUGUAGUGGGGGAGAGCCCGGCGCAAGCCGGAUUAAUACCGCAUACGAUCUACGGAUGAAAGCGGGGGACCUUCGGGCCUCGCGCUAGAGGGUUGGCGGAUGGCUGAUUAGCUAGUUGGUGGGGUAAGGGCCUACCAAGGCGACGAUCAGUAGCUGGUCUGAGAGGACGACCAGCCACACUGGGACUGAGACACGGCCCCGACUCCUACGGGAGGCAGCAGUGGGGAAUUUUGGACAAUGGGCGAAAGCCUGAUCCAGCAAUGCCGCGUGUGUGAAGAAGGCCUUCGGGUUGUAAAGCACUUUUGUCCGGAAAGAAAUCCUUGGCUCUAAUACAGUCGGGGGAUGACGGUACCGGAAGAAUAAGCACCGGCUAACUACGUG